CUCUAAGAACAAAAACGUAAACAAAGAUAAAGAUAUUUACAAAUAUUGACAGAAAAAUGGGUUUUACUUGGAAGCUAUUGAUGACUUAGCCAAGCGCUCCCUCCCUCCCUUUAGAUGCUGCUAGGCACUACCCAUUCUCGGUUGAACGGCGCCCCUCCUCGUGACUAUGCUGGUGCCAUCUCCUCCACUGGCACAACUUAGCCACACAUUGUGGGAUUUACAAACAUUUAAUGAACAUGACCAAAACUCGGCCUCUGUCUUUAAUAUUUACGCGGUCAAAGCAGAGGAUCUGUUGCUAGGAAAAGGCUAGAGGGACCGCGGAAAGUUAUGCUGGUAGAGCUCGCAUGGAAACAUGGCCCUCAAAUGGACCCACGCGAUGCGUGCGUGUUGGGUCACCUAAUUCUGAGGAGCUCCUGGGGAAAAGAAGGGGCAGGUCAAAAGGUAUAUAACUGCACUGUAAAUUGAAUAUUAUUGUAUUGUUGUAUCAUGACUUGUACACUGUACAUCAGUGGUAGCCAGCAUAAGCGAAGCAUACAAUGACAUGUUGGAAUCUGUGUCAAUUUAUCAUUUUAUCAAUUUUAUUCUGUUACAUUCAAAUCUUAUUUAUCAAAAUAUACAAUUAAAAGAUCAAACAUACCCGGCGUUAAAAGUUACACGACUUCAAUCAAAGGGUAGAAAUGGAAGAUAAUGAA
Drosophila biarmipes is the source of this 692-nucleotide long non-coding RNA. RefSeq lists it as uncharacterized. Lineage: Eukaryota; Metazoa; Arthropoda; Insecta; Diptera; Drosophilidae. The transcript is spliced from 2 exons. The record is from RefSeq and is a predicted model, not a curated record.